GACGACGCUGGCGGCGUGCCUAAUACAUGCAAGUAGGACGAGUUGCGAACGGGUGAGUAACGCGUGGUAACCUGCCUAUUAGAGGGGGAUAACUAUUGGAAACGAUAGCUAAUACCGCAUACUAGUAACUGGACCUGCGUUGUAUUGGCUAGUUGGGGGGGUAAAGGCCUACCAAGGCGACGAUCCGUAACGGGUUCGUGAGGAUGAGCAGACACACUGGAACUGAGAAACGGUCCAGACUCAUCCGGGAGGCAGCAGUGGGGAAUAUUGCACAAUGGGCGCAAGCCUGAUGCAGCCAUGCUGCGUGUAUGAAGAAGGCCUUCGGGUUGUAAAGUACUUGCAGCGGGGAGGCGUUACCCGCAGAAGAAGCACCGGCUAACUCCGUGCCAGCAGCCGCGGUAAUUC
Molecule: ribosomal RNA, 405 nt
Filed under: uncultured bacterium
Lineage: Bacteria
Description: partial 16S ribosomal RNA
Rfam family: Bacterial small subunit ribosomal RNA
Source: RNAcentral